Molecule: long non-coding RNA, 462 nt
Filed under: Struthio camelus australis
Lineage: Eukaryota; Metazoa; Chordata; Aves; Struthioniformes; Struthionidae
Description: lncRNA (ENSSCUG00000018990.1)
Source: RNAcentral
UGGAAGUAUGUGUGGAAUAAGGUUACGUAUCUUGGGACACAGUUGUCAAAAUUUCUUGUUGAAGAAGUGUCUAUUUCUGAUGACCUGGAAUUACCAUCACAACAAGGAGAGCCUGUGGGCUCUUCUGUCCAGUUCAACUCAGCAAAUCUGAUGCAUUUUCUUCUAUUCAAUGAAAUAGUAAUAGUGCAUAAAGAUGAGUUUCUACCGUGUCAUAUAAUGGAAAAACAUUGGAAUUUCUACAAAGAAUGUGAAGAUUUUGGAUUUUAAAGAAUUCUUGAGUGCGGAGGCGUUUUUUGCUUUGUCAUCACUUAAAAGUAAACAUUUGAACUUUUAGAAUUAAAUGUUUUGUUACCAUCAUUUUGAUAAAUCAUUUGCCCAGCAUUUAAAAUGGACUGAAAGACUCCUUGGAUAAAUGAGGAACUGGAGAGUACUUUGUAGCAGGUAAGGAUAACUGUCAGUAUU